This 1298-nucleotide ribosomal RNA is filed under the name Poecilimon orbelicus. Its description in RNAcentral is "16S ribosomal RNA". The stretch from base 869 to 1228 matches the Rfam family "Bacterial large subunit ribosomal RNA", at positions 2075 to 2645 of the family's 2925-position model. Lineage: Eukaryota; Metazoa; Arthropoda; Insecta; Orthoptera; Tettigoniidae. The record is from RNAcentral.
AGCAUAUUAUUUAAAUUGUUUGUGAGGAAAUUAUUAAUUAAAAUAAUUUUAGUGAAUGUGUUUUAGUAUAGUUUAUGGAAUUUAUAAGGUGAAUAAUAGAGGAGUAGUACUGUGAAGGAAAUAUGAAAUAGAUGAAAUAGUUAUUGGAAUGAAAGAAGAAUAGAGUUUGUACCUUGGGUAUCAGGGUUUAUUAAUUAAUAGUAAGGAUUUAUAGUUCUCGAAUUAAAAAGAGCUAAAAUAGUAUAGUAGUUAAGGUGUUAUUAUUAUUAGUAAUAUUAUUUUUAGGGAUGAAAUGUUAAACGUUUUUUAAGUUAUCUAGUUUUUCAAGAAAUGAAUUUAAUUUAUGUUAUUAAGAGUAAAUAUUUAAUUGAUUUAAUAGUUUAUUUAUUAAUAACAAAUAUAUAAAGGGAUAAGCUUUUAUAUAAUAAUUAUAAACUGGAAUAUUGUAAAGAGUAGUAGGCUUUAAAUUAGUCAUCAAUAGAAUAAUGUUAUAAAUUGUUUUAUGAAUAAGUUAUUUUUUUAUAGUUUUAGUUUGUGUAUUGAAAUGUUGUGUUAAAUAAAUUAAUACAAGUAAUUAUGAUAAAAUGAGUAUAUAAAAUUGUUUAGUAUAGUAUUUUUAGGAAUUUAUAGUAAGGAAUUAGGCAAAUUAUUACUCGCCUGUUUAUCAAAAACAUCUCUUUUUGUGUUUAUAUAAAGUAGGGCCUGCCCACUGAAAUUAUUUGAAGGGCCGCGGUAUUAUGACCGUGCAAAGGUAGCAUAAUCAUUAGUCUUUUAAUUGAAGGCUGGAAUGAAUGGUUUGACSAGGUAAUGACUGUCUCAUUAUAAUAUGUGGAAGUUAACUUUUGGGUUAAAAGGCUUAAAUGUUGGUGGAGGACGAGAAGACCCUAUAGAGCUUUAUAUAUAAGUUUAGAUUUGCAUUUAGUGGUUUAUAAAAAUUUAGGUUUAGUAUAUUGUGUUGGGGUGACAUAAAGAUAUAAUUAACUCUUUAUUUUAGGAACAUUGAUGUAUGGAUUUUUGAUCCAUUUUUAGUGAUCAUAAGAUUAAGUUACCUUAGGGAUAACAGCGUAAUUUUUCUUGAGAGUUCAUAUCAACAGAAAAGAUUGCGACCUCGAUGUUGGAUUAAGGAAUAUGAUUAAAUGCAGCAGUUUAGUUAAUAGGUCUGUUCGACCUUUAAAUCCUUACAUGAUCUGAGUUCAGACCGGUGUGAGCCAGGUCGGUUUCUAUCCUCAGUAUUUUUAUAUGCUUUAGUACGAAAGGACCAAGUAUUCUAAAUAUUUUAUUGUAUUUGAUUAUUACUA